Molecule: RNA transcript, 1430 nt
Organism: Diprion similis
Lineage: Eukaryota; Metazoa; Arthropoda; Insecta; Hymenoptera; Diprionidae
Gene: aurB
Gene name: aurora kinase C
Exons: 7
Source: RefSeq, a predicted model, not a curated record
UGAAUUUAUUUUUGAGGUAGAUAAAAUAUGGCUACAAUGAGUGGCGAUAUUCCUGAGGAAUACCGAGAUGGGGUUAACCGAAUGGUUGAAAUCAUGCAUAGAGAAGUCGAGUAUCGUGACAAAGGGUUUAAGUGGACUAUGGACGAUUUUGAUAUCGGAGCACCAUUGGGGAGAGGAAAAUUCGGCAGAGUAUAUUUAGCUAGAGAAAAGAAAACCCACUACAUGGUGGCUCUCAAAAUGCUGCAUAAAUGUGAGUUAGUCAAAGGACGAGUAGAGAAACAAGUCAUGCGUGAGAUUGAAAUACAAUCACAUCUGAGGCAUCCUAAUAUACUCCAUUUGCUAACCUGGUUUUAUGAUGCUAAACGUAUCUAUUUAGUAUUAGAGUUUGCUGCAAAUGGAGAACUUUACCGGGAAAUGCAGCGUCAACCUGAAAAGAGAUUCAAUGAGCACUUAUCUGCCAAGUACACGUAUCAAGUAGCAGAUGCGCUGAACUACUGUCACAAAAACCAUGUCAUACAUAGGGAUAUUAAGCCUGAGAAUUUGUUACUUGACUUUCAAGGUGAUAUAAAAUUGGCAGAUUUUGGAUGGUCUGUUCACGCUCCUUCCUCAAAGCGCAACACUAUGUGCGGUACAUUGGAUUAUCUACCUCCGGAGAUGGUAGUAGGACAGACAUACGACAUAUACGUAGAUCACUGGUGUUUAGGAAUUCUGUGCUAUGAAUUUUUAGUUGGAAGGCCACCAUUUCUCAGUGACACGCAUGAAGAAACAUACAACAAAAUUAAGGGCUGCAUUAUACACUGGCCAUCUCAUGUUUCUUUAGGUGCACGAGAUCUUAUCUCAAAGCUGAUCAAAAGGAAGAGCUCUGACAGAAUUCCGCUACCUGCUGUGAUGAAGCACCCUUGGAUAGUUGAUAAAAAAAGCAAAAAGUAGUCAUUCCUGUAGAAUUAGCUAAUUUCCCUGAAGCCCAGCACAUAUACUGGUAUCAAAUUUACAGCAUAAUAACGUUACAUCAGACUGUAAUGAUGACUCACCGCUAUCUAAAUUAAAAUCCAUAUUUUUAUAUUCUUUUAUUAUUAUAUUUAAUGAUAAAGUUAGAAGCAUUUUGUUUGUCCUGCUAGCUAUACUUUCUACACUUCCGCGAUAUAUAGUAAUGGUAUCCUUACACAUGGGUAUAAAAAGUGUAGAAAGUAUAGCUAGCACGAACAAACCCAUUGAAAGUAGAAUAUAACUUUUAAGAUAUAAGUUGACAAAUUUAAUUUUAUAAAUACACGCUUACCUUAUUAUACCUUAAUGUCAAAAUUAACGUUCAGAAAAUGAGCGAAUUUAUUCGAGCGGAUAUUUUAUUAUUCAUGUCAGUCAUAUUCAAGCAGAUAUAGAGGUGCCUUCAUAAUAAGAUGAGUAAGGAAUUUUGGGGUAAAGUUUUUAAUGUA